Molecule: ribosomal RNA, 189 nt
Filed under: uncultured bacterium
Lineage: Bacteria
Description: partial 16S ribosomal RNA
Rfam family: Bacterial small subunit ribosomal RNA
Source: RNAcentral
GCCUACACGAAGCUGGAAUCGCUAGUAAUCGCGGAUCAGCACGCCGCGGUGAAUACGUUCCCGGGCCUUGUACACACCGCCCGUCACACCAUGAGAGUCUGUAACACCCAAAGCCGGUGGGAUAACCUUUAUAGGAGUCAGCCGUCUAAGGUAGGACAGAUGAUUAGGGUGAAGUCGUAACAAGGUACC